Molecule: transfer RNA, 93 nt
Filed under: Hemiphyllodactylus serpispecus
Lineage: Eukaryota; Metazoa; Chordata; Lepidosauria; Squamata; Gekkonidae
Description: tRNA-Cys
Source: RNAcentral
AAGCCCACGAGGUGAAUUACGCCAAAAUGCAAAUUUGGAGAAGCUCCCCCAAAAGGAGCCGGGGCUUCUCCCGUUUCUUCUCAACGGGAGAAG